GAUGAACGCUAGCGGGAGGCCUAACACAUGCAAGCCGAGCGGUAGAGUUUCUUCGGAAACUUGAGAGCGGCGCACGGGUGCGUAACACGUGUGCAACCUACCUUUAUCUGGGGGAUAGCCUUUCGAAAGGAAGAUUAAUACCCCAUAAUAUAAUGAUUGGCAUCAAUUAUUAUUGAAAACUCCGGUGGAUAGAGAUGGGCACGCGCAAGAUUAGAUAGUUGGUGAGGUAACGGCUCACCAAGUCAAUGAUCUUUAGGGGUCCUGAGAGGGAGAUCCCCCACACUGGUACUGAGACACGGACCAGACUCCUACGGGAGGCAGCAGUGAGGAAUAUUGGACAAUGGGUGAGAGCCUGAUCCAGCCAUCCCGCGUGAAGGAUGACGGUCCUAUGGAUUGUAAACUUCUUUUGUACAGGCAUAAACCUACCCUCGUGAGGGUAGCUGAAGGUACUGUACGAAUAAGCACCGGCUAACUCCGUG
RNAcentral lists this ribosomal RNA (479 nucleotides) under uncultured bacterium. Its description in RNAcentral is "partial 16S ribosomal RNA". It matches the Rfam family "Bacterial small subunit ribosomal RNA", at positions 28 to 507 of the family's 1533-position model. The record is from RNAcentral.